UGCUCUCGGGUGACGAGUGGCGGACGGGUGAGUAAUGUCUGGGAAACUGCCUGAUGGAGGGGGAUAACUACUGGAAACGGUAGCUAAUACCGCAUAACGUCUUCGGACCAAAGUGGGGGACCUUCGGGCCUCACGCCAUCGGAUGUGCCCAGAUGGGAUUAGCUAGUAGGUGGGGUAACGGCUCACCUAGGCGACGAUCCCUAGCUGGUCUGAGAGGAUGACCAGCCACACUGGAACUGAGACACGGUCCAGACUCCUACGGGAGGCAGCAGUGGGGAAUAUUGCACAAUGGGCGCAAGCCUGAUGCAGCCAUGCCGCGUGUAUGAAGAAGGCCUUCGGGUUGUAAAGUACUUUCAGUGGGGAGGAAGGCGAUGAAGUUAAUAACUUCGUCGAUUGACGUUACCCGCAGAAGAAGCACCGGCUAACUCCGUGCCAGCAGCCGCGGUAAUACGGAGGGUGCAAGCGUUAAUCGGAAUUACUGGGCGUAAAGCGCACGCAGGCGGUCUGUCAAGUCGGAUGUGAAAUCCCCGGGCUCAACCUGGGAACUGCAUUCGAAACUGGCAGGCUAGAGUCUUGUAGAGGGGGGUAGAAUUCCAGGUGUAGCGGUGAAAUGCGUAGAGAUCUGGAGGAAUACCGGUGGCGAAGGCGGCCCCCUGGACAAAGACUGACGCUCANGUGCGAAAGCGUGGGGAGCANACNNGAUUAGAUACCCUGGUAGUCCACGCCGUAAACGAUGUCGACUUGGAGGU
RNAcentral lists this ribosomal RNA (749 nucleotides) under uncultured bacterium. Its description in RNAcentral is "bacterial SSU rRNA". It matches the Rfam family "Bacterial small subunit ribosomal RNA", at positions 79 to 824 of the family's 1533-position model. The record is from RNAcentral.